UCUACACUUAUUAAUGUCAGCCUUAUUGUUUAUUAACAUCUGUACUACUUCAGUAUGUCCUUUCUGACAAGCAACGUACAGAGGUGAUACUCCAUCAUCUCUACACUUAUUAAUGUCAGCCUUAUUGUUUAUUAACAUCUGUACUACUUCAGUAUGUCUCUUCCUGACAGCAAUGAACAGAGGUGAUACUCCAUCAUUAUCUCUACACUUAUUAAUGUCAGCCUUAUUGUUUAUUAACAUCUGUACUACUUCAGUAUAUGUCCUUCCUGCACAAGCAUGAACAGAGGUGAUAUUCCAUCUUUCGACAAUGGUUUACAUUACUGUUACAAUGAUAUAAGCACCAUGCAACCAGAUCAAUAUCUCCUAUAUAACAACACUGUAUUAAUGGUGUGCUAUUGUUUUGUGUGUUAUAUAGACUAGCCAAUUGUUUUGUUUUGAUAUUUCUAAACCUUUUAAAUGUACAAGGAUUCUUUGUCUGAAGAUUUGAUCAUCCAUAUUGAUGUUACAGAAGACAUCUACUAUCUUUCCUCUAAACCAGUCAUCUAUCAAUCUAUUUAUAUACAUUUGCUGAUAUCUUUCUGAUACAUCUAUUAAAAAUUCAUCUCUGUUGCCUUUAUUUUUAAAAACAAAUCUUUCACGAAUAAAAUGACUUGAAGCAUUAUUAAUUAAACAAUAAAUCAUAACACUGCCAAAGUAAAAAGCAAGAAAGUCAAACAGCUUGUCAUGAAUAGUUCUGUAUAAUUCACCAUCCUUUCUGAUAAACGUAUGAGUUAGUGAAUCCAGCUCAUCACGAAGUACCAAUCUAGAAGUUCCUUUCACCACUUUACAAGCUUCAA
This 836-nucleotide long non-coding RNA is filed under the name Mytilus galloprovincialis (Mediterranean mussel). The record is from RNAcentral. Lineage: Eukaryota; Metazoa; Mollusca; Bivalvia; Mytilida; Mytilidae.